RNAcentral lists this ribosomal RNA (253 nucleotides) under uncultured bacterium. RNAcentral describes it as "partial 16S ribosomal RNA". It matches the Rfam family "Bacterial small subunit ribosomal RNA", at positions 524 to 776 of the family's 1533-position model. The record is from RNAcentral.
UACAGAGGGGGCAAGCGUUGUUCGGAAUUACUGGGCGUAAAGGGCGCGUAGGCGGCCAUCUAAGUCAGACGUGAAAUCCCCCGGCUCAACCUGGGAACUGCGUCUGAUACUGGGAGGCUAGAGUUUGGGAGAGGGAUGUAGAAUUCCAGGUGUAGCGGUGAAAUGCGUAGAUAUCUGGAGGAAUACCGGUGGCGAAGGCGGCAUCCUGGACCAAUACUGACGCUGAGGCGCGAAAGCUAGGGGAGCAAACGGG